GUACUUUGCAGAAGUGUCAGACAGAUCUUGUGGUCAGCUGUUAUGGUGGGGAUUGGAUCAUGAAACGACACAUUUGACUCAUGUCACCGUGUCAACACACAGAUGACAUCAAAUGGUUUCUAGCAAAAUCAUCAUUUUGCUUUUGUAUGGCUGACUGAAUCGGAAUGACAACUCAAUUACAGGAGAGUGCUCAUGAGAGUUGCAAAGGCAAGAAAAGAGAAAUAAUACUGUAACCAUAGCAACAAUGACAAAAAGAUAAACAACAUUUUCAAUGUUUCCGAAAUGUCUACCCAAGGGGUGCAAGGAGAAUAUGCAUCAUUCCAAGCAUCACCAAAUGUUGAAUGCUCGCAUGUUCCUAGGUCCAGGUACACAAGCAAAGGGAUUAACAUCCAAAAUACACAGCUGUAGUGAGCCGUAAACUGCCUGGACAAAGUCCGUGAAUUCAAAAUUAGAAGAUUUGAUAUUGCAUCUUUGUUUAAUGUAAAAUUUUAAUGGUCAUGUAAAAUAUUAAUGUAAGUCAAGGAAAGCCAUCCCGGUAAAUAUGAAGGAUGGACAUGCUGAAGAGUCACCCUUCCAACCUGGUCUUCCAUACUUAUUAGCAAUAAGAACAGCAGAGAACCAGCCUUUGAUUUAACGAACAAAGGGAGUGACUACAGUUGGCAAAGCCGGAGGAAGUGGGGCUGGAAAAAGGGGAUUAAGGCCAACAACGCUCGGGAACAAAGAUUAGGCUGCAAGCUUGUGAGGAAGUGAAGCUGGAUUGGAAACUGAGAAAGAAGCUGCAAAAAGAAGACCUAGGGGCUCUGAAGAGCAGAGAGACGCUGUAAAGGGAGGUGAGGCAUUCAAAGUGAGACCAAGUGUCUUGAAAUAGUGGAAAGCAUCCAAAAGAGAAGAGGGGCUGCACAGCUGAGAAAACUGUUUAUGAUUUUUAGCAAUGGAACAUGCACCUAAUUGGGAACAGCAAAACUGAGGUAAUGAAUUAUUUGCAAGUUAAUGUGGAGUCUCCAGAAGUUAAGCCAAAUGAGUUCAGGAAUUAUCAGAAGAGAGAAAGUGCAGUGGAUCUGAUUGUAAUGCAAACUGUCAAUUUUAAUAUUGAAUAGUUGUAUCUCAUAAAGGUUUAUAUUAAUGUUAUCAUAUCUAAAAACACUUGACAUACAAUGAAUUAUUUAUAUUGAAUGUUGUGACUUUAAGUUUAAUGAAAAUUGAUGAUUAUAGAGAAUAAUGAUGAAUAUAUCCAAUUCUGCUUUGGUUUGACCACAAAUCUCCCUUAUAUCAAAAAAAACACAAAAGGUAUUGUUCCUAAGUGACGACAUCAUCUAAUGAUAGAGGUAAUGAGACGGAAAAAGGAGCUCCUUCAAACCCAAGAAAUAGCCCUCACAAAAUGCCAAGAGGAGCCCUCAAAAUAAAAUUAUUUAAGGCCUGUA
Molecule: long non-coding RNA, 1421 nt
Organism: Stegostoma tigrinum
Lineage: Eukaryota; Metazoa; Chordata; Chondrichthyes; Orectolobiformes; Stegostomatidae
Exons: 3
Source: RefSeq, a predicted model, not a curated record